UCAAUUAAGGGCAAAACUGCUGAAAAGCAGUGACGCAAAGCUAUGGGUCUUUUUGAGAUCGCCAGGCUGCAGAGA
This is a non-coding RNA of Halanaerobium kushneri, 75 nucleotides long. Lineage: Bacteria; Bacillati; Bacillota; Clostridia; Halanaerobiales; Halanaerobiaceae. The record is from Rfam.